Molecule: ribosomal RNA, 440 nt
Filed under: uncultured bacterium
Lineage: Bacteria
Description: partial 16S ribosomal RNA
Rfam family: Bacterial small subunit ribosomal RNA
Source: RNAcentral
CCUACGGGAGGCAGCAGUAGGGAAUAUUGCUCAAUGGGGGAAACCCUGAAGCAGCAACGCCGCGUGGAGGAUGAAGGUUUUCGGAUUGUAAACUCCUUUUGUUAGAGAAGAUAAUGACGGUAUCUAACGAAUAAGCACCGGCUAACUCCGUGCCAGCAGCCGCGGUAAUACGGAGGGUGCAAGCGUUACUCGGAAUCACUGGGCGUAAAGAGCGCGUAGGCGGGAUAGCAAGUCAGAUGUGAAAUCCUAGGGCUUAACCAUAGAACUGCAUUUGAAACUGUUAUUCUAGAGUAUGGGAGAGGUAGGUGGAAUUCUUGGUGGAGGGGUAAAAUCCGUAGAGAUCAAGAGGAAUACUCAUUGCGAAGGCGACCUGCUAGAACAUAACUGACGCUGAUGCGCGAAAGCGUGGGGAGCAAACAGGAUUAGAUACCCUUGUAGUC